UUUAUUUCUCUUUUCUUUACUAUAACUUCUUUACUCACUCUUUCUCACAAAGUUAAUACUCUUUCUUUAAACACUAUCUUUACUUCUCCCAAAAUUAAUACUCUUUCUUAACUUCUCAAAUGAAAUACUCUUUCUUUUCUUAAAGUGAAUAUUCUAUCUUUUCUUCUCCCCCUUUAUAUACUCUUUCUUCUCUUCUCCUUUAUAUACUCUUUCCUUCUCUUCUCUCCCUUUUUGUUAUCAUCAAAAACAUAUAUAUGGGAAAAGAUGCAAUUAAGAACAAACUUCAGACUUCAUUGAUCACAAUAGGAACAUUUUCAUACAUUAAUGCCCAAAAUAAAGAUAAGUAC
This 347-nucleotide long non-coding RNA is filed under the name Phoenix dactylifera (date palm). RNAcentral describes it as "long non-coding RNA (PDAC_LNC022136)". The record is from RNAcentral. Lineage: Eukaryota; Viridiplantae; Streptophyta; Magnoliopsida; Arecales; Arecaceae.